This 629-nucleotide ribosomal RNA is filed under the name uncultured cyanobacterium. RNAcentral's name for it is "bacterial SSU rRNA". It matches the Rfam family "Bacterial small subunit ribosomal RNA", at positions 108 to 770 of the family's 1533-position model. Lineage: Bacteria; Bacillati; Cyanobacteriota. The record is from RNAcentral.
GAGUAACGCGUGAGAAUCUGCCUUCUGGUCGGGGACAACCAUUGGAAACGGUGGCUAAUACCGGAUAUGCCUACGGGUGAAAGAUUAAUUGCCAGAAGAAGAGCUCGCGUCUGAUUAGCUAGUUGGAGAGGUAAAGGCUCACCAAGGCAUCGAUCAGUAGCUGGUCUGAGAGGACGAUCAGCCACACUGGGACUGAGACACGGCCCAGACUCCUACGGGAGGCAGCAGUGGGGAAUUUUCCGCAAUGGGCGAAAGCCUGACGGAGCAAGACCGCGUGAGGGAGGAAGGCUCUUGGGUUGUAAACCUCUUUUGUCAGGGAAGAAGAAAGUGACGGUACCUGAAGAAUCAGCAUCGGCUAACUCCGUGCCAGCAGCCGCGGUAAUACGGGGGAUGCAAGCGUUAUCCGGAAUUAUUGGGCGUAAAGCGUCCGCAGGUGGUUUAUCAAGUCUGCUGUCAAAUCGUAGGGCUUAACCCUAUAAAGGCAGUGGAAACUGAGAGACUAGAGUACGGUAGGGGUAGCGGGAAUUCCCAGUGUAGCGGUGAAAUGCGUAGAUAUUGGGAAGAACACCAGCGGCGAAGGCGCGCUACUGGGCCGAAACUGACACUCAUGGACGAAAGCUAGGGGAGCG